Molecule: ribosomal RNA, 179 nt
Filed under: Pleroma blanchetianum
Lineage: Eukaryota; Viridiplantae; Streptophyta; Magnoliopsida; Myrtales; Melastomataceae
Description: Tibouchina blanchetiana 5.8S ribosomal RNA
Rfam family: 5.8S ribosomal RNA (bases 26-179)
About the family: 5.8S ribosomal RNA (5.8S rRNA) is a component of the large subunit of the eukaryotic ribosome.
Source: RNAcentral
CGCGACCUCUGCUAUUAGUCUUAAUGACUCUCGGCAACGGAUAUCUCGGCUCUUGCAUCGAUGAAGAACGUAGCGAAAUGCGAUACUUGGUGUGAAUUGCAGAAUCCCGCGAACCAUCAAUUCUUUGAACGCAAGUUGCGCCCGAAGCCAUCCGGCCGAGGGCACGCCUGCCUGGGUGU